Non-coding RNA from Podarcis lilfordi (Lilford's wall lizard), 3002 nucleotides. The record is from the annotation of a GenBank genome assembly. NCBI's taxonomy places the organism in Eukaryota, Metazoa, Chordata, Lepidosauria, Squamata, Lacertidae.
CUUCCGGGGGGCGGCGCGAACGGCAAUGGCGGUCUUCUCCCGACGGGAGAGGAGGCUCCGCUGAAAUCGGGUCGUCCGCUACGGCGAAGCGGAGACCCAACGAGGAAAACCCCAGGCAGCAAGAGCCUGGGGUCCUGAGGCUCGGCGGGCGCCACGAGCAGCCCUCCAACCGCAGAAGGAGCCUCGUAAGGGGCUCCGGAGCGUGGAGGGGGGUUGCGGUGCUGAGAGCCGUUUCACAGUCAGCGGAGUGAAGCCGCGCUGCUGCUGCCGGUGAGCGCUGAUCCCUUUUCCUGUCAAAAUUCGGACUUGGAAGAAAAACAACUUAUUCGUGAGUAAAGACUGAAUCACUUGGAAUUACAAAUUUUAAAUGAGAAGGUUUAAUUCGGCUUGAACUUGGCUGAAAGCGGAGAGACGUGGAAACAGGAAGUCCGUCUUCCGCAGCCAUUGAACUUGAAAAAAAAGCAACUAAGGCGGAGGAGUGGAGGCUGAAAGAAAGAGAUUUUAAACUCUACACAGCCAAGCAUCUAUGGAACUUACAAUUUAAAGUAAAACCAGUAAGCUAAAGAUUUGGAUCUUUUAUUUGCACUUGACUUUCCCCCUUUUAUUGGAUUACAAAUUGGAAGGUGAAACCCAGAGUCAGGAUUGCUUGAGCACUGUAAGAGUGAGCUGUCAGUGUUGAUUUGGAUACUGUAUAUUAGAAUUUGCAACAAUCUGAGGGUAUUGAGACCUUUUAAAUUUGAAACAUUCUUUUUGGAGACAAAUAAGCACUGUCUGCAACAAAGUGAUUACUUUUAAACUCUGCUUAAUACUUAUAUUGGAAGGUUCUGGGACAUUAAAUCAGACUCUGAAAGACAUCUUAAGCUCCCUCUAGAGGAUUGGAUUAAAACAGUGACUUUACAAAUACAUUUACUUUCGAUUCCCUUGUUGUUUGCUUGCUCUGGGCCUUUCUAUUCCUGUGGGAAAAACUCAGUGUGACCUUGACUGAUAGAUAACAUUGGAAUGAGUGGUACAAGAAGAAGAGGAAGAGUCAGACAAACAACUUUAACAACUCUAACCUCAGCCUCGCAGACACGUAGAUCAUCUGUGCCUACUUUGCCCUCAGAAGUACAACUUGAAGAAGCUGCUUUGCCACAGGCAAAAGAGGGAGAGGGUGAAGCAGAGCAGUUACAAUUGGAAGAUAUGGCCUCAGGAGCAUCUGUUUCUGUACUAGAAAAAAUCUUUGAAAAAUUGGAAGCUUUGGACAAGAAAGUAGAUGCGCAAUCAGCAAAGAUUGAUAAAAAUACAGAUUGUCUAAACAAAUUAACUACACAGGUGGGACAGAAUACACAAGCAAUUGGACAGUUAACGGAGGCCUCAGUAGAAAACCGAAAAUUGGCUGAGGAUACCAGACAAAAAUUGGAAAAUUUAGAGCAAGAGGUAAGACCACUCACUAAACAAGUUGGGGAACAUCAGACUUAUCUUUCUAUGAUAGAACUGCGAAAUCGUGAGAAUAAUUUGAGGAUUAGAUCAUUACAAGAGGCAGAAGAAGGAAAUCUAACUGAGUUUUUGACCAAAGAACUUUCCAAGUUCUGGAAUUUGGAAGAAAAGGACUUUAAAAUUGUGUCAGCUUUCAGACUUGGAAGAUUUAUAAAGAAGGAGAGGCCCAGGGAUUGUUUGAUUACAUUGAGAUCGAAGGAGGAAAGGGAUAAGAUUUUGGGUCUACAUUACGAAAAGUCACUGGAGGUUUUGGAUAGAAGAAUUGAGAUAUAUAAAGAUAUUCCAAGACAACUGUUGGAUCUCAGAGCCGCCUACUCUGAACUUGCUAAAUUAUUAAGGAGCAACGCAAUUCCAUUCAGGUGGGAAUUUCCCCAAGGAUUAUCUUUUACCUUUAGAGCGAGAAAGGUCAAAAUUAGAACAUUGGAAGAGAGAGAUAAAUUUCUGGCUACAUACGGAGAGGACCUACAAAAAGGAAUUGAACUACCUUCCGGGCCUGGGGCAAAGCCAGCAUUAAUACCUGCACCUGGGGAACUUGAAGAUCCAGAGAAGACACCACCCCGGGAGAAAUAACCAGACAGAUCCAGGAUGUCUCUGCAACUGUUGAGCUGGAACAUUAAUGGUUGUAACAUUCCGGAGAAAAGGAAGAAAAUAUUUCAUAUAUUAAAAAAAGAACAAUUGGACAUUAUCUGUUUACAAGAAACACAUGUGACGAGGCUCCACAGAAAAGUGUUAAUAAAUAAAAGAUUGGGCCAGGAAUUUAUUUCGUCGGACAAAGUGAAGAAGAGAGGAGUGGUGAUAUAUGCAAAGAGAGCCUGUCACCUAAAUUUCUAUUUAAAGAUGAACAUGGAAGGAUUUUGGCUAUUGAGAUACAAUAUCAAGGAGAGAAACUGCUGAUAUUAGGAAUCUAUGCACCCAAUGAAGGGAAAUCGGAAUUUUACAAGAAGUUGCAGGGGACAAUGCUGGAUCAUCUGGAUUACAACAACAUCAUAAUGAUGGGAGACAUGAACGGGGUCGUAUCAACUAACAUGGACAAGUCGCAAAGUCAAAAUGUCACAAAAGAUGGCAGACUACCUAAAACCUUUUUUUGAAAUGACUGACAAUAUGGACUUGAUCGACAUUUGGAGAACAAAGAACCCACUAGGUAGAGAAGGAACAUUCUUUUCUGAAGCCCAACUGACCUGGACAAGAAUCGACCAAAUAUGGAUUUCUAGAGGCCUGGCACCUAGGGUUAGAAAAGUGGAAAUCUGCCCAAAGACCUGCUCUGACCACAACGCAGUAAAGAUGGAUAUGACACUACUACCAACUGGAUCCUUUAGAUGGAAGAUGAAUGACAAUUUGUUUAGAGAUCAGGAAAUUACCAAGAAGGCCCAAAAAGUUUUGAAAGACUAUUUCGAGAUAAACAUGAAUAAUUCGGUGGAAAAAGAAUCGUCUGGGACGCAAGCAAAGCUGUCAUGAGGGGAUUCUUGAUACAACAGAAUGUAGUAAGGAAAAAAACACAAAAUGAGAAAAAAGACAAGAUCUUGGAU